This 253-nucleotide ribosomal RNA is filed under the name uncultured bacterium. RNAcentral's name for it is "partial 16S ribosomal RNA". It matches the Rfam family "Bacterial small subunit ribosomal RNA", at positions 524 to 776 of the family's 1533-position model. The record is from RNAcentral.
UACGUAAGGGGCAAGCGUUGUCCGGAAUUAUUGGGCGUAAAGAGCUCGUAGGCGGUCUGUCGCGUCUGCUGUGAAAACUCGGGGCUUAACCCCGAACUUGCAGUGGGUACGGGCAGACUAGAGUGUGGUAGGGGAGACUGGAAUUCCUGGUGUAGCGGUGAAAUGCGCAGAUAUCAGGAGGAACACCGAUGGCGAAGGCAGGUCUCUGGGCCAUAACUGACGCUGAGAAGCGAAAGCAUGGGGAGCGAACAGG